Molecule: long non-coding RNA, 753 nt
Organism: Lagopus muta (rock ptarmigan)
Lineage: Eukaryota; Metazoa; Chordata; Aves; Galliformes; Phasianidae
Exons: 3
Source: RefSeq, a predicted model, not a curated record
CACCUCUCUUAGACCUCACUGAAGGGCUGACUACCGCUGGGGAAGGAUCUCUUAUUGGAGAUCCUUCCUUGGUGUAGCUUUCCCCUGUAAACCUGGAAUCUUCUGAUACAGGCUUACUUUCCACCAUCAUAACAUCCUCUCUGUAAUCAACAAUUGAGCAGAACAUCUUCCAGUGUCCUGGUUUUGGAAUUUUACUGUUGGUCCGUCUGGCUCGACGUGCACGUAGUCUCACUUGGAAUAUUUAAUGCAAAUAGCAUUUGAUCUGCGAUGCUGAGAUUUACAGCCCUGGCAAACAUAAGGAUACUGCAUUUUAAUUCACUUACAAUACAAAAUAGUUGCUUUGAUAUUCCUGAGAACAAGCGCCUUGGGAUCUGCUCCUCCCAAAUGACGUCAAAUAAGAAUUUCUCUAUUAACACUAGUGGAUGAAGGAUCAGACUCUUCAAAAAUGAACAGUAAAAAUUUAUGACUACUGCUAUAGGCCAAAGCUUGAAGUGCUUAUUACGCAGUCAAGACUGUCCUUGAAAUCAGUGAAGGCUUCGCUGAGAAAGAAGGAUGUCAUUAAUAGUAUGGGAAGAUUUCAGAUUCCAGAUUCCAGUACUGUGCAUCGUUGGAUGUUUCAGAAUAACCCAUGUCACACUGGUGAACCUAUGACCCGGGAUUUGAUUUUCACAGAUCUGUGUAAACAAAAAUACCCCAGUGAUGAAACUAGGAACUGUGAGGAGUCAUUGUAACAAAAGGCCAUCUGAGAAGAUA